GUGGGUAGUUUGACUGGGGCGGUCUCCUCCUAAAGAGUAACGGAGGAGCACGAAGGUUGGCUAAUCCUGGUCGGACAUCAGGAGGUUAGUGCAAUGGCAUAAGCCAGCUUGACUGCGAGCGUGACGGCGCGAGCAGGUGCGAAAGCAGGUCAUAGUGAUCCGGUGGUUCUGAAUGGAAGGGCCAUCGCUCAACGGAUAAAAGGUACUCCGGGGAUAACAGGCUGAUACCGCCCAAGAGUUCAUAUCGACGGCGGUGUUUGGCACCUCGAUGUCGGCUCAUCACAUCCUGGGGCUGAAGUAGGUCCCAAGGGUAUGGCUGUUCGCCAUUUAAAGUGGUACGCGAGCUGGGUUUAGAACGUCGUGAGACAGUUCGGUCCCUAUCUGCCGUGGGCGCUGGAGAACUGAGGGGGGCUGCUCCUAGUACGAGAGGACCGGAGUGGACGCAUCACUGGUGUUCG
Molecule: ribosomal RNA, 458 nt
Filed under: Salmonella enterica
Lineage: Bacteria; Pseudomonadati; Pseudomonadota; Gammaproteobacteria; Enterobacterales; Enterobacteriaceae
Also listed under: 2 other names
Description: partial 23S ribosomal RNA
Rfam family: Bacterial large subunit ribosomal RNA
Source: RNAcentral